ACUCGGGGUGAAAGAAAACCAGAUUCACAUUCUCGGAUUAGAUUAAUCCGGGUUUGCUGUUUUGGAAAGUAAUCAAAGCACAAAAGAGGCUUGAAGAGAUGGGCCCCUUCUUGGCCCAUCACCUGUCUCCCUCGGCCUCUAUCAGUCUAUCUGAUUCCUAAACCUUAUCAUGGAUAAAAUCACGCACCCAUAGUUUUCACUUCUCCCCUUCUCUCUUCCUCAGAUCCAUGGAGCCAACUGUUUUUUAUCCGUCUGUCAAGAGGAUGACUCGGUUAUUAACAAGAAUUCUCAAAGAAGCAAACUCAUCGGCAGUGGCGCCACCACCUGAGGCAGUCCCAGGGGAGUCCGACUUCGUGGUGAUUCUAGCGGCCAUGCUGUGCGCCCUUAUAUGCGUGGUGGGCCUCAUAGCUGUAGCCCGUUGUGCGUGGCUUCGGCGUGGCGGCGCCAGCCCUCAGCCGCUGGCGUCUACGGCAGCUAACAGGGGUUUGAAGAAAAAAGUAGUCGAGUCUCUGCCCAAAUUCACCUACACCGCCGGUAGCGAUAAGUUAACAUCGUCGCAGGAGUGCGCUAUUUGCCUGGGAGAGUUCGUUGAAGGGGAUGAAAUCAGGGUUCUGCCAAAGUGCAGCCACGAAUUCCACGUGCGGUGCAUAGACAGGUGGCUGGGUUCCCACUCUUCAUGCCCGUCGUGCCGGCAGCUCCUGGUGGUGGCCAGGUGCCAGAAGUGCGGGGGGUUCCCAGAUGUUGAGACUUGUGAUAUUACUCCUACCGGUGAUCCCAACGACCAUUCCCAUGCCCAUGGGUUGCAGGAUCCUCCUCAGGAGUCGGGAUAAAGUUAGGACCAAGCUCCAGUUCAUCUGGGACGUAAUCAAUUUAUAGCAAAUGCAGGCACAGAUCAUCAGUAUCAGAGUAACUGACAACUACUCUGAGCAGAAACCAUACAAAACUUAGUAUUAAAAGUAACAGAUAAGAAUUUGAACCAAAGGCGGGUGAUGUAUAGCACCUUCUUUCUCAGGCAAUGACGGCUCGGUAAUCUUAUAGCCAGAUUUCAGGACCAUUCCAGGCCACAUAUGAUCUGAAAGAGCAACGAAUAAACGUUCAACCCCUUGUGAAUCACCAUCAACAGAUAGACCUGUCAGAAUCAGCUUCUUCAUCUCAGUAAUGCCAAAUAUCACAAGAAAAAAAAAACAUGGAACUGAAUGAAUGUUAUAGAAGUCCACACUAUAUUUUUCAUGAUUCACUACUGUCAAUUGACAUAAUUGUCUCAACAAAGAUGCAGUAAACUUCUUUUUCA
This is an RNA transcript of Tripterygium wilfordii, 1291 nucleotides long. It is a transcript of the gene named RING-H2 finger protein ATL8-like, with no coding region annotated. Lineage: Eukaryota; Viridiplantae; Streptophyta; Magnoliopsida; Celastrales; Celastraceae. The record is from RefSeq and is a predicted model, not a curated record. The transcript is spliced from 4 exons.